GAAUGGAUUAGUGGCGAACGGGUGAGGAACACGUGAGAAACCUGCCUUUCAUUCUGGGAUAACGCCGGGAAACCGGUGCUAAUACCGGAUACUCCAUCUUGGGCAUCGCCGAGCUGGGAAAAAAUUUUGAUGAAAGAUGGUCUCGCGGCCUAUCAGCUAGUUGGUGAGGUAAAGGCUCACCAAGGCGACGACGGGUAGCCGGCCUGAGAGGGCGACCGGCCACACUGGGACUGAGACACGGCCCAGACUCC
This 251-nucleotide ribosomal RNA is filed under the name uncultured bacterium. Its description in RNAcentral is "partial 16S ribosomal RNA". It matches the Rfam family "Bacterial small subunit ribosomal RNA", at positions 85 to 339 of the family's 1533-position model. The record is from RNAcentral.